AUUGAACGCUGGCGGCAUGCCUUACACAUGCAAGUCGAACGGUAACAGCACUUCGGUGGCUGACGAGUGGCGAACGGGUGAGUAAUACAUCGGAACGUGCCCGAGAGUGGGGGAUAACGCAGCGAAAGCUGUGCUAAUACCGCAUACGAUCUACGGAUGAAAGCAGGGGACCGCAAGGCCUUGCGCUCAUGGAGCGGCCGAUGGCAGAUUAGGUAGUUGGUGGGAUAAAAGCUUACCAAGCCGACGAUCUGUAGCUGGUCUGAGAGGACGACCAGCCACACUGGGACUGAGACACGGCCCAGACUCCUACGGGAGGCAGCAGUGGGGAAUUUUGGACAAUGGGCGAAAGCCUGAUCCAGCCAUGCCGCGUGCAGGAUGAAGGCCUUCGGGUUGUAAACUGCUUUUGUACGGAACGAAAGGUACUUUCUAAUAAAGAAGGACUGAUGACGGUACCGUAAGAAUAAGCACCGGCUAACUACGUGCCAGCAGCCG
Molecule: ribosomal RNA, 492 nt
Filed under: uncultured bacterium
Lineage: Bacteria
Description: bacterial SSU rRNA
Rfam family: Bacterial small subunit ribosomal RNA
Source: RNAcentral